GGUUAAGCGACUAAGCGUACACGGUGGAUGCCCUGGCAGUCAGAGGCGAUGAAGGACGUGCUAAUCUGCGAUAAGCGCCGGUAAGGUGAUAUGAACCGUUAUAACCGGCGAUUUCCGAAUGGGGAAACCCAGUGUGAUUCGUCACACUAUCAUUAACUGAAUCCAUAGGUUAAUGAGGCGAACCGGGGGAACUGAAACAUCUAAGUACCCCGAGGAAAAGAAAUCAACCGAGAUUCCCCCAGUAGCGGCGAGCGAACGGGGAGGAGCCCAGAGCCUGAAUCAGCAUGUGUGUUAGUGGAAGCGUCUGGAAAGGUGCGCGAUACAGGGUGACAGCCCCGUACACAAAAGCGCAUGUGCUGUGAGCUCGAUGAGUAGGGCGGGACACGUGGUAUCCUGUCUGAAUAUGGGGGGACCAUCCUCCAAGGCUAAAUACUCCUGACUGACCGAUAGUGAACCAGUACCGUGAGGGAAAGGCGAAAAGAACCCCGGCGAGGGGAGUGAAAAAGAACCUGAAACCGUGUACGUACAAGCAGUGGGAGCAC
RNAcentral lists this ribosomal RNA (542 nucleotides) under Salmonella enterica subsp. enterica serovar 1,4,[5],12:i:-. RNAcentral's name for it is "partial 23S ribosomal RNA". It matches the Rfam family "Bacterial large subunit ribosomal RNA", at positions 1 to 582 of the family's 2925-position model. The record is from RNAcentral. RNAcentral also lists the same sequence under 1 other name. Lineage: Bacteria; Pseudomonadati; Pseudomonadota; Gammaproteobacteria; Enterobacterales; Enterobacteriaceae.